UGGGGAAUAUUGGACAAUGGGGGCAACCCUGAUCCAGCCAUGCCGCGUGUGUGAAGAAGGCCUUCGGGUUGUAAAGCACUUUCAGUGGGGAGAAAAGUGAUUCACUUAAUACGUGAGUUAAUUGAUGUUACCCACAGAAGAAGCACCGGCUAACUCCGUGCCAGCAGCCGCGGUAAUACGGAGGGUGCAAGCGUUAAUCGGAAUUACUGGGCGUAAAGCGCACGUAGGCGGUUCGUUAAGCCAGCUGUGAAAUCCCCGGGCUCAACCUGGGAAUUGCAGUUGGAACUGGCGAGCUAGAGUAUGGUAGAGGGGUGUGGAAUUUCAGGUGUAGCGGUGAAAUGCGUAGAUAUCUGAAGGAACACCAGUGGCGAAGGCGACACCCUGGACCAAUACUGACGCUGAGGUGCGAAAGCGUGGGGAGCAAACAGG
This 429-nucleotide ribosomal RNA is filed under the name uncultured bacterium. RNAcentral's name for it is "bacterial SSU rRNA". It matches the Rfam family "Bacterial small subunit ribosomal RNA", at positions 355 to 776 of the family's 1533-position model. The record is from RNAcentral.